RNAcentral lists this ribosomal RNA (253 nucleotides) under uncultured bacterium. RNAcentral's name for it is "partial 16S ribosomal RNA". It matches the Rfam family "Bacterial small subunit ribosomal RNA", at positions 524 to 776 of the family's 1533-position model. The record is from RNAcentral.
UACGGAGAGUGCAAGCAUUAAUCGGAAUUAUUGGGCGUAAAGGGCGCGUAGGCGGGAAUAAAAGUCAGAUGUGAAAUUCCGAAGCUCAACUUCGGAGCUGCAUUUGAAACUGCAUACCUAGAGGGUUGACGGAGAAAACGGAAUUCCACGUGUAGCGGUGAAAUGCGUAGAUAUGUGGAAGAACACCAGUGGCGAAAGCGGUUUUCUAGUUAAUACCUGACGCUGAGGCGCGAGAGCAAGGGGAGCAAACAGG